CCUACGGGGGGCAGCAGUGAGGAAUAUUGGUCAAUGGGCGUAAGCCUGAACCAGCCAAGUCGCGUGAGGGAUGAAGGUUCUAUGGAUCGUAAACCUCUUUUAUAAGGGAAUAAAGUGUGGGACGUGUCCGAUUUUGUAUGUACCUUAUGAAUAAGGAUCGGCUAACUCCGUGCCAGCAGCCGCGGUAAUACGGAGGGUGCGAGCGUUAAGCGGAAUUACUGGGCGUAAAGCGCUCGUAGGCGGUAUGUCAAGUCAAGGGUGAAAUCCCCGCGCUCAACGUGGGAACUGCCUUUGAAACUGGCAAACUGGAUUGUGUGAGAGGCUAGUGGAAUUCCCGGUGUAGGCGUGAAAUCCGUAGCUAUCUGGAGGAACAUCAGUGGCGAAGGCGACUCUCUGGCACAUACCUGACGCUGAGGAGCGAAAGCGUGGGUAGCAAACAGGAUUAGAUACCCCAGUAGUC
RNAcentral lists this ribosomal RNA (460 nucleotides) under uncultured bacterium. RNAcentral describes it as "partial 16S ribosomal RNA". It matches the Rfam family "Bacterial small subunit ribosomal RNA", at positions 338 to 795 of the family's 1533-position model. The record is from RNAcentral.